UUAAAGUUUGUGCAUAAGUGAGACCUCCCUGACUUGCUAGGGAGAUUGAUAUCUCGUGGCGCAGUCCGUUUCUGAAUUUCUCCGCGUGUUUCUCAUCAGUGUCCACUAAGAGUGGAGCAUAUCUUGACAGCUGGUUAAAAGCCCUAUCAUACUCAGUCACUGUUCCAGCCCUUUGCUUCAAAUUCCAGAACUCGUUCUGUUUCUUCUGUCUAUAGCAGCCUGGUAUGUACUUCUCAUACAAUUCAGUCUUAAAA
This 254-nucleotide long non-coding RNA is filed under the name Salvia miltiorrhiza (redroot sage). RNAcentral describes it as "long non-coding RNA (SMIL_LNC001513)". Lineage: Eukaryota; Viridiplantae; Streptophyta; Magnoliopsida; Lamiales; Lamiaceae. The record is from RNAcentral.